RNAcentral lists this ribosomal RNA (1167 nucleotides) under Enterococcus faecium. RNAcentral describes it as "bacterial SSU rRNA". It matches the Rfam family "Bacterial small subunit ribosomal RNA", at positions 93 to 1247 of the family's 1533-position model. RNAcentral also lists the same sequence under 1 other name. The record is from RNAcentral. Lineage: Bacteria; Bacillati; Bacillota; Bacilli; Lactobacillales; Enterococcaceae.
GAGUGGCGAACGGGUGAGUAACACGUGGGUAACCUGCCCAUCAGAAGGGGAUAACACUUGGAAACAGGUGCUAAUACCGUAUAACAAUCAAAACCGCAUGGUUUUGAUUUGAAAGGCGCUUUCGGGUGUCGCUGAUGGAUGGACCCGCGGUGCAUUAGCUAGUUGGUGAGGUAACGGCUCACCAAGGCCACGAUGCAUAGCCGACCUGAGAGGGUGAUCGGCCACAUUGGGACUGAGACACGGCCCAAACUCCUACGGGAGGCAGCAGUAGGGAAUCUUCGGCAAUGGACGAAAGUCUGACCGAGCAACGCCGCGUGAGUGAAGAAGGUUUUCGGAUCGUAAAACUCUGUUGUUAGAGAAGAACAAGGAUGAGAGUAACUGUUCAUCCCUUGACGGUAUCUAACCAGAAAGCCACGGCUAACUACGUGCCAGCAGCCGCGGUAAUACGUAGGUGGCAAGCGUUGUCCGGAUUUAUUGGGCGUAAAGCGAGCGCAGGCGGUUUCUUAAGUCUGAUGUGAAAGCCCCCGGCUCAACCGGGGAGGGUCAUUGGAAACUGGGAGACUUGAGUGCAGAAGAGGAGAGUGGAAUUCCAUGUGUAGCGGUGAAAUGCGUAGAUAUAUGGAGGAACACCAGUGGCGAAGGCGGCUCUCUGGUCUGUAACUGACGCUGAGGCUCGAAAGCGUGGGGAGCAAACAGGAUUAGAUACCCUGGUAGUCCACGCCGUAAACGAUGAGUGCUAAGUGUUGGAGGGUUUCCGCCCUUCAGUGCUGCAGCUAACGCAUUAAGCACUCCGCCUGGGGAGUACGACCGCAAGGUUGAAACUCAAAGGAAUUGACGGGGGCCCGCACAAGCGGUGGAGCAUGUGGUUUAAUUCGAAGCAACGCGAAGAACCUUACCAGGUCUUGACAUCCUUUGACCACUCUAGAGAUAGAGCUUCCCCUUCGGGGGCAAAGUGACAGGUGGUGCAUGGUUGUCGUCAGCUCGUGUCGUGAGAUGUUGGGUUAAGUCCCGCAACGAGCGCAACCCUUAUUGUUAGUUGCCAUCAUUCAGUUGGGCACUCUAGCAAGACUGCCGGUGACAAACCGGAGGAAGGUGGGGAUGACGUCAAAUCAUCAUGCCCCUUAUGACCUGGGCUACACACGUGCUACAAUGGGAAGUACAACGAGU